AUGGAGCUCCAGUGAGCAGAGGAGUGGGAUGUGAGAGAAAGAACCGUGCAGACCCCGAGUUACUAACAAGAAUGCCAUCAUUAUUCCAGUCAUUAGCAAAAUGGAUGUUGUUGUCCGGAGUUGCCGGCUGUGGGACUGCUUUCAGGAGGAGGUCUGUUCCUGGCAGUACAGCCUGAUACCUCUCCCUUUAAGUCAGUGUUGCUUGGACCUGAAGAGAUGCUCUGAUGAUGGAGAUACGCGGAUGAAGGGGAAAAGGCUGGAACUAAGCUGACAGCACUCAGCCGCUGUAAGUGUGAACCGGUCUGCUGCGACAAGGAGCUCAAGGAGAUUUAAGAUGGCACCUGCCUUUCAGGGAGAGCAGGGGGGACUUACUCCAUUUGACCAACUCGUACCAUGUCCUCAGGCCUGCGAAUGGCUUAAAGGAGACUCUUCUCCACAAGAUAGUGAAAUGGUGUCCGUGUGGAAACGCGCUGUGUUCGUUGAAGUGCCUGAAGGUGAGCAGGGCCCAGCCCAGUGUUGUUGCAGAAGUAGGAGAAUGGCAUCGGGAUAGCUCAAAAAAACCCAAAACAGCAACCAAAAAAACUGCAUCAGAAAGAAAACCUCCUGCCAUGUCAUCUUGCCCAGACCUUCCAGUGAGACAGCCUUUCCCAACUCUGUCAGGGACCAUCUCUCAUGUACCAAAAGCGUUGCCGCUGUUUGCAAAGAGCUCUCCAGGCAUUUAGGCGUCUUCACUUGGGAGUACUGGCAUUUGGGACCAAGGUAUGGCAAACCAGGGCGUGUGCUGCUGGAACUGUUAUCAAGGAAAUUUAAUCCAGCAACCCUCUCCUGCAGGACUUCUCAAGGCUUUGUCUCUCUUCCCCCAUUCCCCUGCAAAUGUCC
Long non-coding RNA from Gymnogyps californianus (California condor), 879 nucleotides. RefSeq lists it as uncharacterized. The transcript has 7 exons. The record is from RefSeq and is a predicted model, not a curated record. NCBI's taxonomy places the organism in Eukaryota, Metazoa, Chordata, Aves, Accipitriformes, Cathartidae.